Non-coding RNA from Paramormyrops kingsleyae, 380 nucleotides. NCBI's taxonomy places the organism in Eukaryota, Metazoa, Chordata, Actinopteri, Osteoglossiformes, Mormyridae. The record is from RefSeq and is a predicted model, not a curated record.
UAACAGCUUUAGCCAUCGGCAUUUUUGGCAUAGUGUGUUUUAAUUGUUCAAGCAAUUGUCUUUGUUUACAAAGGCGGAGACUCUUGCUCGCCAUGAUAAUGAAGAGCACGACCCUAAUUACAUCUGCUUCAUCACGUGAGCACAAGGAGAAGCUGAAAAGAUGAAGAGGAGCUACACCUCAUUCCUGCAAGUUAUCUACAACAGAGGAGAAGAGCAUCAGCCUGAUCUUUGAAGUGAGCCAUCAGAAUCUGCAGAACAUAGGGAGGUGCCACACUGGUGCUGCUUCUCAUCAGAACAUAGGGAGGUGCCACACUGGUGCUGCUUCUCAUCAGAACAUAGGGAGGUGCCACACUGGUGUUGCUUCUCAUCAGAACAGCUUU